RNAcentral lists this unclassified non-coding RNA (2766 nucleotides) under Hevea brasiliensis (rubber tree). The record is from RNAcentral. Lineage: Eukaryota; Viridiplantae; Streptophyta; Magnoliopsida; Malpighiales; Euphorbiaceae.
CACCCACCCACCCCCACCAAACAAUCUACUUUCUAGGCCAACCACCCUCAUCUACUAACUAACUUCCUGUUUUCUAGGAAUCCUGGCUGAAGCUUCGUCAGAAAAUGCAUAAUCAACCUUUUUCAUCGUCACAAACGGGAGUUCCGACCGAAUUAAGGAAUACCCAGAUGAUUUCCUCUUUGCUUUCCGGGGAUGACCCCGCAGCUUCAUCCAAUUUUGACUGGUCGGAUUUACUCGACUUCGACCUACACGAACAAUUGAACAUCUCAUUCGAUGACCCACUUCACCAAGAGCAGCAGCCGGAGACAGAAUUCGUGGCGCCGGUGAUACCUUCUUCGGAGGAUUCACCGCAUAGCCAAGAUACGGAUGCGGGUCGGAUCAGGAAGAGGGACCCGAGGAUGGCGUGCUCGAAUUUUCUGGCGGGUCGGAUCCCGUGUGCUUGCCCCGAGUUAGAUGAGAAGAUGGAGGAAGAGGAGAUGGCAGGGAUUGGGCCAGGAAAGAAACGGGCUAGGACUGUACGGGCUUCUGCCGGAGCUGGGGCGAGGUGUCAAGUACCCGAUUGUGAGGCGGAUAUCAGUGAGCUGAAAGGGUAUCAUAAGAGACACAGGGUGUGCUUACGUUGUGCUAAUGCAACUUCUGUGGUUCUCGAUGGGCACAGUAAGAGAUAUUGUCAGCAGUGUGGCAAGUUUCAUAUUUUGUCAGACUUUGAUGAAGGUAAGCGUAGUUGUAGAAGAAAAUUAGAGCGACACAACAACAGGCGUAGGAGAAAAGCCACUGAUACGUCCAAAACGUCUGCUGAAAAGGAAUCUCAGCAGCUCACAACGGCUGAUGAUGUUAGUGGUGAUGACGACAUCGUCAAAGAUAACACAUGCAUGGGCAGCCAGUUAGGAGAAAAGGAAAUCCUAUUAGAAUCUGAAGGACAUGUGCCGAUAUGCUCUACUCAAGGCAUCCAGAAUAAUCACAGUGAUAGUUUCACAGCUUCUGGUGAAACACAGGUUGAUGCAGAAAAGGAGAACUACAAAAAUUCCCAUUCUCCAUCAUAUUAUGACAACAAGAGUGCCCUUUCUUCAGUGUGUCCCACUGGUCGGAUCUCAUUCAAGCUUUAUGAUUGGAACCCCGCAGAGUUCCCUCGAAGACUCCGGCACCAAAUCUUCCAGUGGUUGGCCAGUAUGCCUGUCGAAUUGGAGGGCUAUAUUCGUCCAGGUUGUACAAUCUUGACAGUUUUUGUUGCAAUGCCGACAUUCAAGUGGGGUAAGUUACUAGAAGACCCAGCUGCACACUUAUAUGAGUUAAUUGCAUCACCUGGAAACAUGCUUCGUGGAAGAGGAAGCUUUCUUAUUUAUCUCAACAACAUGGUAUUUCGUGUUACCAAAGGUGAAAAUUCAGUAGUUAAAGUCAAGCUGAAGGGACCAGCACCAAAGCUUAUGUCUAUUUAUCCUACGUGCUUUGAGGCUGGCAAGCCUAUGGAAUUUUUUGCCUGUGGAAGCAAUCUAAUGCAGCCCAGAUUCCGGUUUCUUGUGUCAUUUGGGGGAAGGUAUUUGGGGAAUGAUAUCAAUGUCGUACCAUCAGAUUGUAAAUAUGAAGGUGAUUCUAGUAGCACGGAGCAUCAAUUAUUAAAGAUACAUGUCCCUAGAACUGAAGCAGAUCUUUUUGGCCCCGCUUUUGUUGAGGUUGAGAAUGAAUCUGGCUUAUCUAACUUCAUCCCCAUCCUCAUUGCGGAAAAGGAUAUUUGUGCAGAAAUGAAGGAAAUACAACGGAAGUUCUGUUCUGGAGGGUCAGAAUGCACUGCUGUUUGUUCUCCCUGUGAAGCUUCCACGUCUAGAAAGUCAGAAUUUUCAGAAUUUAUGUUGGAUGUGGCAUGGUUACUAAGGGAGCCUUCAUCAGAAAAUGUUCAGAUUCUGGCGUCUGUACAGAUGCAGAGAUUUAAUUAUUUGUUGAACAUUUUAAUGGAAAGUCAGUCAACUAUUAUUUUGGAAAGAGUAUUGUCUUAUUUUGAAAAUAUAGUGAAGAGAAACAUGUUAGCUGGCAUCACUGAUGCUGACAUGACACUUUUUCAGAAGAAUAUUCUCGAGAAAAAUAUUCUGCUCAAGGAAAGAUUGCAUCUAAAGGAAUAUUUUGCGGGAGAUUCAGGACAAAUUAUGCAGGAGCUUCCUAAUUUGCAGGACACAGCGGUACCACAUAAGCACAACAUAGAGUUUGGUCCUACUUAUUGGGAGCUAACUUCUAGAGUCCCACUUUUGGAUGCAGAAUUGCCAUUGAGAGUGAAGGAACAACAAUCAGGGAAGUCCUGUGGCUUCUUGGUUAGAAAGACACUAUUGACGUCUCGUACUCUUGUUUUUGUAAUCUCUGGUUUUGCUUUGUGUCUUGGUCUAUGUGCAACAUUCCUGCAUCCUAGAAAAGUUGGUGACAUUGCUAUGACAAUCCGGAGGUGUUUGUUUGACAAAACUUAAAAUUGCAUGUAACUUUUACCAAAAUGACGGUCUGCAGUCACAGAAUAUAGGUGUGAUCUCCAUUGCUCGGGGUCCCCCUUUGUGGCAUUCUUGAUGUACUAUAUUACCUGUGCUAUGUAAACACAAAACUGUAUCAGCUAUGUAGCUUCAACUAGUUGUGUAGUUUCUUUGUACAAUUUGUUGGAUAGUCACCCUAAAAGCCUUUUAUUGCUGACAUCAGUUGUCCCCAAAGAGCAGAUACACUGAUACUAUUUGUGCUCAACUUCUUUAAGCUUUGGACUCUUGAAACAUUUUGAUGUGAAUAUGCCUGUUAUUU